AAGUCGUAACAAGGUUUCCGUAGGUGAACCUGCGGAAGGAUCAUUCUUGAUAAUAUAGCGUAAGCUAUCAUUAAACUAUGUGCACCGUUACCGCCAUUUUGGCGGCCGAAAGGUCGUCAUUUGGCUUCUCUUAAAUUUACUAAUAACUUACUAUAACUAAUAAUAAUAAAAUCUUAUGACAACUUUUAGCAAUGGAUCUCUAGGCUCUCGCAUCGAUGAAGAAGC
RNAcentral lists this unclassified non-coding RNA (225 nucleotides) under fungal sp. RNAcentral describes it as "partial internal transcribed spacer region". The stretch from base 1 to 46 matches the Rfam family "Eukaryotic small subunit ribosomal RNA", at positions 1786 to 1831 of the family's 1831-position model. The record is from RNAcentral. Lineage: Eukaryota; Fungi.